Molecule: unclassified non-coding RNA, 710 nt
Filed under: Hevea brasiliensis (rubber tree)
Lineage: Eukaryota; Viridiplantae; Streptophyta; Magnoliopsida; Malpighiales; Euphorbiaceae
Source: RNAcentral
UUUUUAUUUUUAUUUUUUUUUUAUUCUCUUCUUUUGGGAUGGUGCUUACGAGCUCAAAUAUGAGGAUGGAGAUAGGUGGCAGGGAUGAUGUUGACCCUGGCUUAAACAGGUAAUGUUGUAGAAAUGAUAAAAGAUAUGGGCCUCCGUCGCAGAUGCAUUAAGCAAUGAAAUAAUAUCUCCAUUUCCAUCUGCAUCCUUGACUAUCACUUGUAAUUUACAACAAUCACCACACCAUGGUAGCUUGGAAUUUCUAUCUGUAUUUUAGGGCAAGAAAAUGAAAUGAUUUGCCCAUUCAUUACUUCUAGCAACAAUGUGAAUCGCAGACAUAUAUGUGUUCAAAAAGAAAAAAAUGGAAAUUAUGAUGAGCAUCUGAAGCAUUCAUGACUGGAUUCGUUAAAUCUGUCAACUAAUGUUUUUUUCCCCUAUGAGAAAGCUUUUGGAGGAGCAAGGUAUUGAAUUGCAUCUAACCAAUCAACUCUACAAACAACUGUCGAGAAUCUUUAAAAAUGAAGCUAUGAAUAUGCUUCCAAUUUCAAUCAAUACACAAGGACAUACUAAGAACUACUCUUAAGAAGAUCUCCUAUCAACCCAUCUAAUGAGCAUUUGUCUUCCCUUGAUUUUAAUUGGAUAUUAUCCUCUUCGAUUUGAUAUUUCGUGUACCUGUUUGUCUAUAUUUUACUAAUCAUCCAUUACAUAUAAAAUUUUUUUUU